Molecule: transfer RNA, 74 nt
Filed under: Barnesiella intestinihominis
Lineage: Bacteria; Pseudomonadati; Bacteroidota; Bacteroidia; Bacteroidales; Barnesiellaceae
Also listed under: 8 other names
Description: tRNA-Gln
Rfam family: tRNA
About the family: Transfer RNA (tRNA) molecules are approximately 80 nucleotides in length. Their secondary structure includes four short double-helical elements and three loops (D, anti-codon, and T loops).
Source: RNAcentral
UGUCCGGUGGUGUAAUGGUAGCACUUCGGAUUCUGGUUCCGCCUGUGAGGGUUCGAAUCCUUCCCGGACAACAA